GACGAACGCUGGCGGCGUGCUUAACACAUGCAAGUCGAACGAGCGGCGGACGGGUGAGUAAUGUAUGGGGAUCUGCCCGAUAGAGGGGGAUAACUACUGGAAACGGUGGCUAAUACCGCAUACUAUCGGAUGAACCCAUAUGGGAUUAGCUAGUGGGUGGGGUAAAGGCUCACCUAGGCGACGAUCCCUAGCUGGUCUGAGAGGAUGACCAGCCAAACUGGAACUGAGACACGGUCCAGACUCCUACGGGAGGCAGCAGUGGGGAAUAUUGCACAAUGGGCGCAAGCCUGAUGCAGCCAUGCCGCGUGUGUGAAGAAGGCCUUCGGGUUGUAAAGCACUUUCAGCGAGGAGGCGUUACUCGCAGAAGAAGCACCGGCUAACUCCGUGCCAGCAGCCGCGGUAAUUC
RNAcentral lists this ribosomal RNA (406 nucleotides) under uncultured bacterium. Its description in RNAcentral is "partial 16S ribosomal RNA". It matches the Rfam family "Bacterial small subunit ribosomal RNA", at positions 28 to 526 of the family's 1533-position model. The record is from RNAcentral.